This 253-nucleotide ribosomal RNA is filed under the name uncultured bacterium. RNAcentral's name for it is "partial 16S ribosomal RNA". It matches the Rfam family "Bacterial small subunit ribosomal RNA", at positions 524 to 776 of the family's 1533-position model. The record is from RNAcentral.
UACGGGGGGGGCAAGCGUUGUUCGGAAUUACUGGGCGUAAAGGGCUCGUAGGCGGCCAACUAAGUCAGACGUGAAAUCCCUCGGCUUAACCGGGGAACUGCGUCUGAGACUGGAUGGCUUGAGUGCAGGAGAGGAACGCGGAAUUCCAGGUGUAGCGGUGAAAUGCGUAGAUAUCUGGAGGAACACCGGUGGCGAAGGCGGCGUUCUGGACUGCAACUGACACUGAGGAACGAAAGCCAGGGGAGCAAACGGG